UGGGGAAUUUUGGACAAUGGGCGCAAGCCUGAUCCAGCCAUGCCGCGUGCAGGAUGAAGGCCUUCGGGUUGUAAACUGCUUUUGUACGGAACGAAAAGGUGCCUUCUAAUAAAGGGCGCUCAUGACGGUACCGUAAGAAUAAGCACCGGCUAACUACGUGCCAGCAGCCGCGGUAAUACGUAGGGUGCGAGCGUUAAUCGGAAUUAUUGGGCGUAAAGCGCGCGCAGGCGGCUUAUUAAGUCUGAUGUGAAAGCCCACGGCUCAACCGUGGAGGGCCAUUGGAAACUGGUAGGCUUGAGUGCGGGAGAGGAGAGCGGAAUUCCCGGUGUAGCGGUGAAAUGUGUAGAUAUCGGGAGGAACACCCGUGGCGAAGGCGGCUCUCUGGCCUGUAACUGACGCUGAGGCGCGAAAGCGUGGGGAGCAAACA
RNAcentral lists this ribosomal RNA (427 nucleotides) under uncultured bacterium. Its description in RNAcentral is "bacterial SSU rRNA". It matches the Rfam family "Bacterial small subunit ribosomal RNA", at positions 355 to 774 of the family's 1533-position model. The record is from RNAcentral.